GCCGGGCGCGGUGGCGCGCGCCUGUAAUCCCAGCUACUCGGGAGGCUGAGGCUGGAGGAUCGCUUGAGCUCAGGAGUUCUGGGCUGCAGUGCGCUAUGCCGAUCGGGUGUCCGCACUGAGUUCGGCAUCAAUAUGGUGACCUCCCGGGAGCGGGGGACCACCAGGUUGCCUAAGGAGGGGUGAACCGGCCCAGGUCGGAAACGGAGCAGGUCAAAACUCCCGUGCUGAUCAGUAGUGGGAUCGCGCCUGUGAAUAGCCACUGUACUCCAGCCUGGGCAACAUAGCGAGACCCUGUCUCUAACAAAAAAAAAAAAGAAAA
RNAcentral lists this signal recognition particle RNA (319 nucleotides) under Cervus elaphus hippelaphus. It matches the Rfam family "Metazoan signal recognition particle RNA". From Rfam's summary of the family: The signal recognition particle (SRP) is a universally conserved ribonucleoprotein. The record is from RNAcentral. Lineage: Eukaryota; Metazoa; Chordata; Mammalia; Artiodactyla; Cervidae.